AGCUUUGCAUAGUGGCAGUAUUGUGGCCAAUGAGGUUUAUCUGAGGCGUGAUUAUUGGUAAUUGAAAACUUUUCCCAAUACCUCGCCAUGAAGAUUUGAAAUAUAGUCGGCAUUGGCAAUUUUUGACAGUCUCUAUAGAGA
Molecule: small nuclear RNA, 141 nt
Filed under: Saimiri boliviensis boliviensis (Bolivian squirrel monkey)
Lineage: Eukaryota; Metazoa; Chordata; Mammalia; Primates; Cebidae
Description: U4 spliceosomal RNA (ENSSBOG00000007628.1)
Rfam family: U4 spliceosomal RNA
About the family: U4 small nuclear RNA (U4 snRNA) is a component of the major U2-dependent spliceosome. The structure of U4 snRNA from yeast and human has been reported.
Source: Rfam by way of RNAcentral